Molecule: ribosomal RNA, 207 nt
Filed under: Triticum aestivum (bread wheat)
Lineage: Eukaryota; Viridiplantae; Streptophyta; Magnoliopsida; Poales; Poaceae
Description: partial small subunit ribosomal RNA
Source: RNAcentral
AUGUACCUUGGUGCUCUGAGCAGGAAAGAAAUAGAGCAACCAAUUACCGGCGACAUUACAGUAGAAGAAAACGGAGACAUAAGCAACGAGCGGUAUAGAGAUGCUUGUGCAACUUAUACACACAGGCACACAACACAUACGUACCUAGAAGGAUAUUGUGAUCGCUGCGGCACGCCACGCCGAGACACACAUGCUGACAUGCAUUAA